AGUGAACGCUGGCGGCAGGCCUAAUACAUGCAAGUCGAACGGCAGCACAGCAGAGCUUGCUCUGUGGGUGGCGAGUGGCGGACGGGUGAGGAAUACGUGGGAAUCUGCCCAGUCGUGGGGAUAACGUAGGGAAACUUACGCUAAUACCGCAUGCGCCCUUCGGGGGAAAGCCGGGGACCUUCGGGCCUGGCGCGAUUGGAUGAGCCCACGUCGGAUUAGCUAGUUGGCGGGGUAAAGGCCCACCAAGGCGACGAUCCGUAGCUGGUCUGAGAGGAUGAUCAGCCACACUGGAACUGAGACACGGUCCAGACUCCUACGGGAGGCAGCAGUAGGGAAUAUUGGACAAUGGGCGCAAGCCUGAUCCAGCCAUGCCGCGUGAGUGAAGAAGGCCCUCGGGUUGUAAAGCUCUUUUGUCCGGAAAGAAAGCGCCGGGUUAAUACCCUGGUGUCCUGACGGUACCGGAAGAAUAAGCACCGGCUAACUUCGUGCCAGCAGCCGCGGUAAU
RNAcentral lists this ribosomal RNA (505 nucleotides) under uncultured bacterium. RNAcentral's name for it is "bacterial SSU rRNA". It matches the Rfam family "Bacterial small subunit ribosomal RNA", at positions 29 to 524 of the family's 1533-position model. The record is from RNAcentral.